Molecule: ribosomal RNA, 809 nt
Filed under: uncultured bacterium
Lineage: Bacteria
Description: bacterial SSU rRNA
Rfam family: Bacterial small subunit ribosomal RNA
Source: RNAcentral
AGAGUUUGAUCAUGGCUCAGNNNNAACGUUAGCGGCACGCCUAACACAUGCAAGUCGCACGAGAAAGGGAGCAAUCCUGAGUAGAGUGGCGCACGGGUGCGUAACACGUAGAUAACCUGCCCUUUGGAGGGGGAUAACGUUCCGAAAGGAGCGCUAAUACCGCAUAACGCCUUUUCCGGUUCGCCGGAGAUUGACAAAGGUAGGGACCCGCAAGGGCCUAUCGCCAGAGGAGGGGUCUGCGGCCCAUCAGCUAGUUGGGGAGGUAAUGGCUCACCAAGGCAGAGACGGGUAGCUGGUCUGAGAGGAUGAUCAGCCACACUGGUACUGGAACACGGACCAGACUCCUACGGGAGGCAGCAGUGGGGAAUCUUGGUCAAUGGGCGCAAGCCUGAACCAGCGAUGCCGCGUGAGUGAUGAAGGCCUUCGGGUUGUAAAGCUCUGUGGGGCGGGACGAAAAAGCAGGUUCUAACAGGACCUGAAAUUGACGGUACCGCCUUAGCAAGCACCGGCUAACUCUGUGCCAGCAGCCGCGGUAAGACAGAGGGUGCAAACGUUGCUCGGAAUCACUGGGCGUAAAGGGCGUGUAGGCGGGAAGGAAAGUCGGGCGUGAAAUCCCUGGGCUCAACCCAGGAACUGCACUCGAAACUUCUUUUCUUGAGUGCCGGAGAGGAAAGCGGAAUUCCUGGUGUAGAGGUGAAAUUCGUAGAUAUCAGGAGGAACACCAGUGGCGAAGGCGGCUUUCUGGACGGUAACUGACGCUGAGACGCGAAAGCGUGGGGAGCAAACAGGAUUAGAUACCCUAGUAGUCC